This 246-nucleotide ribosomal RNA is filed under the name uncultured Acinetobacter sp. RNAcentral's name for it is "partial 16S ribosomal RNA". It matches the Rfam family "Bacterial small subunit ribosomal RNA", at positions 796 to 1041 of the family's 1533-position model. The record is from RNAcentral. Lineage: Bacteria; Pseudomonadati; Pseudomonadota; Gammaproteobacteria; Moraxellales; Moraxellaceae.
CAUGCCGUAAACGAUGUCUACUAGCCGUUGGGGCCUUUGAGGCUUUAGUGGCGCAGCUAACGCGAUAAGUAGACCGCCUGGGGAGUACGGUCGCAAGACUAAAACUCAAAUGAAUUGACGGGGGCCCGCACAAGCGGUGGAGCAUGUGGUUUAAUUCGAUGCAACGCGAAGAACCUUACCUGGUCUUGACAUACAGAGAACUUUCCAGAGAUGGAUUGGUGCCUUCGGGAACUCUGAUACAGGUGC